UUUACAAGCAAAUACUAGUUUGUCUUUUUACUUACAAAUGGCAUGUUUAAUUCAGUACAUUACUUGCAGUUUCUUUGUCAUGUAUUGUUCUAAAAUACAUAUGUAAAUUUAAAUACAAUCUCCUAAGUAAUAUUCACUUAUUGUUUGCCAUCUAAUCAAAUCACACCAAAAAAUGAACAACUCAAGUAAAAUAUACUCAGUACAGCAAGAUAAUUGAUGCGCAUGCGUCUUUGACUUCGAGUCUGAAGUGGCGCGCACAGAGGAAAGGAAUGGAGACUUCACGACGGAAAAUUUGAAUUUUACCACGAUAUUGCACCCACUAUUCAAGCAAAUGCAAGAUUAAAAAUGAAUUCAGAAGAAUCACCACAAUUUCCUUGGAGCGUACAUUCUUGUAAAAACUGGACUUCUAUACCCCAAAACUCCUGACUUUGUUUGAGAUGAGGGGUGGGGUUGCUGGCAUAAGAAUUAAACAUUCGCUGGAUUCACUCAGCCAGCAAGAAGAAAGCCUUGAAGAUAGGUGAGACGUUGUGAUUCGCUGCCUCCUAUCUUUCCUGGGAGAAUCAGCUGAGGAGCUCACUGAAGACCACCAGGAUAUCAGCAGAGAUAUCACCUUCUCCAGUCAUGUCAUGAAAAUCAUCGUACUGAGCAGAUCUGUGGAAGAAGAUGCCAGUAUGUCUGAUGUCAUCAUUGUAAUUGAGGGAACUGAGGUGCUGCUGGGAUGUAAGAAUCUCGCACAUGCAUGUCUUUCACUCACAGGCUGCAUUAACUUUCUAAACUUAAGCUUUCCCCCAAAGCUGAUAAACACAUUUGAAGUGUUUCAGAACAUUUUUCUUGGGCUAGAUGCUUUUCAAUUGUCUCCAAAGGUUAAAGGCAGAGUCCACGAUGUUUGAAAGCCAAUGUUGAUAUUUGAAAUCACCCAAACAAACACGCCCCUACCCCAAUAGAAUCUGGACCUUCUGUUGAUAGACCCGCCCCACACAUACGCAACCCGGCAUUUGAUUUGAUUGGCUAUAAGUGUGUUUUGGUAGUCGUCCCGUCUCCUUUUCCAACGCGUUUUUCAAACAUCGUGGACUCCGCCUUUAACUGUGCAUAGAAAGCUUCUAAUGUAAUCUGCUAGUUGGGCACUACUUGCACUUAUUGUACUGUUUUUAUUGUUGUUGUUGUUGUUUGUUUUGUUUUGUUUUUUUGCAAGAAAGGUUAUUCACAAAACAACUUCAACUACAGUACUAUUUAACAUAGCCAUUCUUAUACAUUUUAAGUAAUGCUAUUCUGCUAGAGACCGUAAAGUUUUAUUAUUUUAUUUGAUGUCUUUGUUCCCUUAAUUUAAUGUAAUUGAAAUUAAAAUAAGCUAAUGAAAGGCAGCUACUAGUUUGACUAUUUGCACUUUUGUUUUUGAUAUCUGCAACUGAGAUUGUUGUAAUGUUUAUGUUUAAAUGUUUAUGCAUUUUAAUGAACUGUAUUUCAUGUUCCCAUCUUUAAGGAAUCUUAUAGAAAUAAAAGUAUUCAAGUAAAA
Misgurnus anguillicaudatus (oriental weatherfish) is the source of this 1513-nucleotide long non-coding RNA. RefSeq lists it as uncharacterized. Lineage: Eukaryota; Metazoa; Chordata; Actinopteri; Cypriniformes; Cobitidae. The record is from RefSeq and is a predicted model, not a curated record.